CGGACGGGUGAGUAAUGUCUGGGAAACUGCCCGAUGGAGGGGGAUAACUACUGGAAACGGUAGCUAAUACCGCAUAACGUCGCAAGACCAAAGAGGGGGACCUUCGGGCCUCUUGCCAUCGGAUGUGCCCAGAUGGGAUUAGCUAGUAGGUGGGGUAACGGCUCACCUAGGCGACGAUCCCUAGCUGGUCUGAGAGAAUGACCAGCCACACUGGAACUGAGACACGGUCCAG
RNAcentral lists this ribosomal RNA (232 nucleotides) under uncultured bacterium. Its description in RNAcentral is "partial 16S ribosomal RNA". It matches the Rfam family "Bacterial small subunit ribosomal RNA", at positions 99 to 334 of the family's 1533-position model. The record is from RNAcentral.